Molecule: long non-coding RNA, 316 nt
Organism: Coturnix japonica (Japanese quail)
Lineage: Eukaryota; Metazoa; Chordata; Aves; Galliformes; Phasianidae
Source: RefSeq, a predicted model, not a curated record
AACACACAGCAGCAUGACAUCACAAAGGCUUUCCAAGUUCUGGAAAGGCAUUGCCCUUUUCAGUGCACUUUGCAAAAGAACGUCCUUGCCCAGAAAUCACUACCAGCAUUAUGAUUUCAUCUGCAGCAACAGCAGGUGUGGGACACAAUUCCUUUGAGAAGGACCAGAAAUCAAUUGGAUGUGCAGACAGCACAGAGCAACACAGCCAUGUCUCCAAAUCUGGCAGAAAUCCUGAGCUCUGAACCCUGGAUGAGGAACAGCCCAAUGCCCACUACCAAUCAAUCUGGCCCUGCAAGGUCUCAAGAGACAAAAGAAA